Molecule: non-coding RNA, 3559 nt
Organism: Nothobranchius furzeri (turquoise killifish)
Lineage: Eukaryota; Metazoa; Chordata; Actinopteri; Cyprinodontiformes; Nothobranchiidae
Source: RefSeq, a predicted model, not a curated record
UUUAUGUCUGCCACACAUCUCUCUGAAGAACUCACAGCAUUGACGGCUUCAGCAACGCUGUGCCACUCCGUGGAUUUUCUCUUAUUUGUUUUGCAAAAGCACUUCAUUUCAUUUCUCCACCUCACCCACAAGUACCUCAAUUUCUGCUCUGGUGAAAUUGCGCUUCCUUGAUCUGCGGUCGCCAUCAUUAAUGGUGAAACACUGCAACGAGCUCGCUUAUGUAUGCAGUGAUCCCUCGUUUAUCGCGGUAGAUGCGUUCCAGACCUGGCCGCGAUAGGUGAAAAUCUGCGAAAUAGGGACUCCCAGUAUGCCCCUCGCGGGGAUUCCCUCCACGUCGCACCUACGUCACAAACCGCGGCUAUAAACGGAAGUCGCCUUUCCAGCUCACCACUCAGUCAUUGUUUCUUCAGAUUCUUGAUCAGAGUUUCCAACUUACCGAUCAAUCCAACGAACUAUCAGCUCAUAGUAAGUUAUCUUACUUACUUCUGGAAAGCCCGGCAUUUCCGUGUCACUUCGUUGACGCUCGAACGCUUGGGGGUUUCCUAGAUUAAUCGUGAGCCGGCGUUUCACCGACGCUAUCACUUCCGUGUCUGUGAAACCACGCGCUCCCUACAAGUUCAACUCCCGAAUCCAGCCGACCAGUCUGACAAACAGUACUAUAUUGAAUUAUAGUAUGAUCACAUUCUCCUUUUGUGGGUAAAACUCAAGAAAAAAAUUUUUUUACUUGGUUUUUUAUAGUUUUAUUGCAAAAAGUGCAUUUUAUGAUGAAAUUGAUGAAAAACAAACCAGGAAUUUCUUGAUAUUUCGCAUAGAAAAAUACCGCGAAUCGGCGAAUUUCCCUUGAAUAAGGCUCCAAAAUAAAAUCCGCGAAGUCGUGAAUCCGCGAUAAACGAACCGCGAAGUAGCGAGGGAUCACUGUAUACAUGAGAUCCACAAGGUACUAUAGUAUUUGUCAUUUAUGGCAGAAAGUGGGCCUGUUGAGGGCGGGAUGUGAUCCAGAAACAGCUGAGCACAUUUCCUGAUAGUUUGUGAUUUAUAAAGCAGAGAUUGCGUUGUGCGUUCUCCAUGUUUUGUAGGUCACAAACGUACUUGGCGUAAGUACGUUCCUUUUGCUGAGCUAAAGUACGGUUUUAGUAAAUAUUCUACGCAAUGUUUGACGAAUGAGACCCCAGAUCCUUAAGCCUAGUUUUGCGUAUGGUUCGGUACAGAGACAUGCAAUACUAUUAUCCGUGAUUGCGAGGGCUCUCCAAAAUGCUUACAAGAACGGAUGGAGUUGAGCCCGCUUUUCUAAACAUUCGUCCAAUGAGAUGGAGAAUGCAAGCUUGUGAUUGGUCAGGACGCCGCUUCCUUUAAAAUCUUCAACAGCACUGCCACUGCUCCGUCAAACAAACAAAGAGACUUGACAAUAUUUAGCGGCAGACACGGAGCAGCCUGAAGAAUACUUUGCAGAUGAACUCUAAAGAUAUUGUGACGCCACAGGAAAUGAGUCACUAGAGAGAAAAGCUUUAUUGCAUACCUCAAGUGUCAAACCUGGCUUGACAAUGAGGAGCAGCUCAUUAACAACUCUUGCAAUCACAAACUUGGAGUUAACAAUCUGAUGUCAGGCAGGUCAUUCUCAUGCACCCCCUUCUCUAUCGUGAUGAUGAACAAAUACCACCAAAUAUUGACACCAACAGAACUUGAAGGAUAACUAAAGAACAGGUCAGUGAAACACAAAUAUAUAAUGUCAAACCAUAAGAUAACACUGGAGAACUCUGCAACUAACACUUAAAGUGACAAGCACAGAAGCCCAAUAACAAAACAAUACUUGGAUUCAGAUGAAAGGGGCCGUUCCUCCCAACCACACCACUCCAGGUCUCAUUGCCGUUGCCCACAUGAGCAUUGAAGUCCCACAGGAGAACAGUGGAGUCACCAGAAAGAGCUCACUGUCUGCAUGCUGGCUUGUCCUCUGGCCAGUGGGAUGUUUGAGUAGCUGAGAAACCCACAACCUUCCCCUGCAGCACCUCCUCCUUCUCCUCCACCUUCUCCUGUUGCUCAUCUCUCACCUAAGGAUGCUUAGUUUGAGGUGAUGAUGGCAGACGAGAAGCUUCUGUCUGAAGCAGAGCAGCUGCAGCUCAUGACAUCUGUCAUUACAAGGUUGCAGUUCUUUUCCGGUGGUUUCCCGGGUGAGGUCCAGCUGUGAGAGCCUCUUGGAGGAAAAUUUAGUAAAGCUGGGUGUGGAGUUGUUCAACUGCCAGACAGAGAGGGGUGCCAGACCUUCCUGUGUAUACGUGAGCCACAAGGAGUGCACGUCUGACAUCUAGACAUGUGGAACACCACAUAGUGAGUAACAAAGCUGGAUCGGUUUGCUACACGACCCGUCAGCAGCUCUUUCUGGAGCAAGCAGAGCUCACGAUUAAAACCCUCAUCUACACGGAGGGACGGCUGUCGCUGAAGGACCUGACUGCUGCUUCUCUGGACAAGACGGUGGAGGUCACGGGGCUCUGCAGGGGAGCAGGUGGAGACCUCACUGAGGAACGACUGGGUCAGGCAAGGAUACCACUCUAAUGGACUAUAAUUAGAACUGAGCAAUAUGGCCUCAAAUUAAUAUCACGUUGAAAGUUAUUGUUUACAUCCUGGUAACUGCUCACUUCCACACAAGCUGGAGGGCAAGAAGCCCAUCUCCGACCAUUAUCCAGAGCUGUAUUUCUGUGAUUUAAGCUAACAAAAUAAAACCUAGGCACUUAGAUAUUACUACUUUGUUCAUCUGCACAAAGAUGUGUUAGAUGAUCUUAAGAAUAAACAUCUGAAAGCUAACGGUGUUUAGCACAGAGCUUCCAGGUACGUUUGAAGUAGGGCUAAUGAACGGUGAGACGACAGUCCUCCUCAGAACCAUCACCUGGACAUUAAAGGUGUUCUACAUGUUGUGGGUUGGUGCAGAAGGAUCGCUGUGACAUCACUCGUCUUUAAAGACGAACAGAUACUUUGUUUAUUCUGAUGACUAACGUAAACAAAAUCAUGAAACAAACGACAUUGAAGGCUGGUAAUUACAACACAUUUUAUGUAAUUAUUGUAACAAGACCGCGGGUCACACAGAACUACACACCACACCGGGGGUUUCAUUUUCACACGUUUUUGUCUCAGAACUGGUCAGUAGCUCAGUUCUGCUCCUCGUUCCUGCGGUCACACAUAAUUAUAUAAAAAAGCACAUUAGUCAUUAGAUGACCAUAACCUGUUUGCAGUGUUGGGCAAGUUACUUCAAAACUGGAAUGCAUUAAUUAUUACUUGUUACCCUCAUUUUCAAGUAAUUCAUUACAUUACAAUAUUACUGAUUUUAAAAUGUAAGGCAUUACACUACUUUUGCAUUACUUUAAGUUACUUUCACCAAAACAACUUCACUAUGAAUCUGGUAAUCUGACGCUCAGUGAGCUCAUGACAUAUAUGUGGAAGGUGAUGUGGUGUCUAAGCUAGGGUUGCUGUUAAACACAGUCAGAUAUAAUAACAGUGCUUUAAAAUGAUUGUUUAUUAAAUAAAAGCAACAAAAAUCUGUAUUCUCAGCAUGCUGCCAUCUUAUAGGGCC